GUCAACAUCGUUUCCGACCAUCGCAAUGCUUUGUUUUAAUUAAACAGUCGGAUUCCCCUUGUCCGCUCCAGUUCUGAGUCGGUUGUUCAUCGCACUAGGGAACGGCCGAAAC
RNAcentral lists this non-coding RNA (112 nucleotides) under Mucochytrium quahogii. Lineage: Eukaryota; Bigyra; Thraustochytrida; Thraustochytriidae. The record is from RNAcentral.